AAAGUGUUAAGUUAAAUAGACUUUAGUAUUUCAAGUAUUAAUGAAGAUGUGUUCUACACUUUA
RNAcentral lists this transfer RNA (63 nucleotides) under Ruditapes philippinarum (Manila clam). RNAcentral describes it as "tRNA-Trp". The record is from RNAcentral. Lineage: Eukaryota; Metazoa; Mollusca; Bivalvia; Venerida; Veneridae.